Molecule: transfer RNA, 71 nt
Filed under: Dipodomys ordii (Ord's kangaroo rat)
Lineage: Eukaryota; Metazoa; Chordata; Mammalia; Rodentia; Heteromyidae
Rfam family: tRNA
About the family: Transfer RNA (tRNA) molecules are approximately 80 nucleotides in length.
Source: Rfam by way of RNAcentral
UGGGAUGUAGUUCAGUGGCAAAACGCUUGCCUUAGCAAGUUCAACGCCCUGGGUUCGAUCCCCAGUACCAA